UACGGGGGGAGCAAGCGUUGUUCGGAUUUACUGGGCGUAAAGGGCGCGUAGGCGGUCGUGACAAGUCACUUGUGAAAUCUCCGGGCUUAACUCGGAACGGUCAAGUGAUACUGUCGGACUAGAGUACAGAAGGGGCAACUGGAAUUCUCGGUGUAGCGGUGAAAUGCGUAGAUAUCGAGAGGAACACCUGCGGCGAAGGCGGGUUGCUGGGCUGAUACUGACGCUGAGACGCGAAAGCCAGGGGAGCGAACGGG
RNAcentral lists this ribosomal RNA (254 nucleotides) under uncultured bacterium. RNAcentral describes it as "partial 16S ribosomal RNA". It matches the Rfam family "Bacterial small subunit ribosomal RNA", at positions 524 to 776 of the family's 1533-position model. The record is from RNAcentral.